Molecule: non-coding RNA, 39 nt
Organism: Schistosoma curassoni
Lineage: Eukaryota; Metazoa; Platyhelminthes; Trematoda; Strigeidida; Schistosomatidae
Source: Rfam
GCACUGCUGAGGAGUCCCACAAUAGGACGAAACGGCCGU